GAUGAACGCUGGCGGCGUGCCUAAUACAUGCAAGUCGAGCGAACAGACGAGGAGCUUACUCCUCUGACGUUAGCGGCGGCCGGGUGAGUAACACGUGGAUAACCUACCUAUAAGACUGGGAUAACUUCGGGAAACCGGAGCUAAUACCGGAUAACAUGUUGAACCGCAUGGUUCAACAGUGAAAGACGGUCUUGCUGUCACUUAUAGAUGGAUCCGCGUCGCAUUAGCUAGUUGGUAAGGUAACGGCUUACCAAGGCAGCGAUGCGUAGCCGACCUGAGAGGGUGAUCGGCCACACUGGAACUGAGACACGGUCCAGACUCCUACGGGAGGCAGCAGUAGGGAAUCUUCCGCAAUGGGCGAAAGCCUGACGGAGCAACGCCGCGUGAGUGAAGAAGGUCUUCGGAUCGUAAAACUCUGUUAUUAGGGAAGAACAAAUGUGUAAGUAACUAUGCACGUCUUGACGGUACCUAAUCAGAAAGCCACGGCUAACUACGUG
Molecule: ribosomal RNA, 497 nt
Filed under: uncultured bacterium
Lineage: Bacteria
Description: partial 16S ribosomal RNA
Rfam family: Bacterial small subunit ribosomal RNA
Source: RNAcentral